UGUUUUUUUUAUUUGAGGGAUUUUUAAAUUGUUUUUUUGGUUUUGGUCCUUCAUUAAUCUAAAAAUUUUGGUUUUAGUCCUUCAUUUGCCACAUCAUAGUUGCCACAUGUCAAGUCGUUAGCCACAUCAGCAUUUUUGAGACAGCAGGGACCAAAACCAACACGAUUUGCAUAUGCAGGGACAAAUGUGAUAUUUAAGCCAAAUAGAAAUAAUAAGAGAUAUGAUGAAUAUAAUUUGGUUGGAGAUUAAUUUGAGAGAUUAUGCGAGAAAAUAUAGAGAUUUGAUUACUUUUUGGAAGAUUUGGUUAAGUAUUAAUUUGGGAGAUUAUGUGAGAAACUCUUGGGAUAUGAAUUGAUUUCUAGGAGAUUUAGUUGAGAAAAUUAUUUUAAUUAUAAAAUAGAACUUUUGUAAAAAAAAGAGAGAGUAUAAAAUAGAACGUUUAGUAAAAAUAAAGGAAACGGGCGCGUGAAAUAAAAUAGGGGUAUGAGUAGUAAAACCAUAAAAAGUUUAAUUAAAAAAAACUAAGAAAAAGGAGGGUGUAGAUAGAAGGUCAGUUUUAUGACUUUUGAGAGAAGCAAAACCUAAUAGAUCUUAUCUUAUCUUAUCUUAAUCUUAAUUUUAUCUUAUCUUAAUAUACUAAAGGAUCAAUGGUUUUGCAAGCUCCAUUUUGAAACCCUAAAUUCUUGCCCAAUCAAUCUCCUACAUUUUUCCAUUUUGACCAAUCACAUAUUGCCACCUCUAGGUUUCCAUUUCAUCUAACCUAAUUUGCUUGUCCUUUGUAACCCUAAUGUUCUAUCAAAUAGUUAAUUGACACCUAUUAUAUGCUUAGAAAAUCACAUGUUGGCAACUAGAAGCUUCUAUAUGGUUGCAAUGAUUCAGCCUGCAUCAAUUCUGUUGGACCUCUCCUUACACCAAUUGGAAGGCUCCACUAAACACAAGAUGACAGCAAGUAAACUAACUGAAUGAGAACCCAGAUUUGGUUCAACCCACAGAUUUCAUCUCUCUAUUAAGAAAGAAUCCCACCAAUUCCCCAAUCAUAUACCCUCAACAUUCUCAAACUCUUUCUCUCACCCUCCAUCUCGUCCUUCACAACCACCACCACCACCACCUGUGAGGAGUGGCCGAGUGAGAGAUUUUCCGGCGGGAGACAGAGAGUUCCGGCUGUGGAAGAGAGUUCCGACCGAUAUAGAGAGUUCCGGUGGCGUUUCGCGGUAACACGGCGGUGGUUGGUGACGGCGGCGACGGCAGUGACAGAGCUUCUUUCUCCUUCUUUCCUCUGGUUCGAUCUUACUUUGUAUACAUUUAUUUGUUUUUUUUUUCCUGUUGCUCUUUUUUUUGUUGGUGAGGAUGGUUGAAGAUUGGAGGUGGUGGUGAUGUGUGCUGGUUAUGGUGGAUGGCUCUAUGAAAGAGGCAGCUCAGUUUCAAUUUUUGGGCUCUCAAUUUUAGGUAAAAGAUGAUUUGUUGUAUGUACCAGAGAAGGUAGACCUAUAUGAAGGCAUGGAUGAAGAAUUUAGAAAAAUAUUUGAGAAGUUUAGUUUCACUGAUGUCGCUGCUUCGGAGCUUACCAGACUGCUGGCGUGCGUUUUGAAGUGCUUUGUGCUGUUAACAAGACUGAGAAAGUCGAAGAAGUUGCUCCUGAGCUGCUAGAGAUGUCCAGGAAAAGACGGAAAUUUGUGCACCUUUUAACAUUCUUCCUUUGGAUUCUGCUGGGGCUUCUUAGCCUAUUAUGCAGCUUGGAGAGCGCAUAGCACACAACAAAGGGAAAAUGACUACUCUACCAUAGAAUUUGACAUCAAAGUUCUGUCGUAGUAUCUGCCGGGCUUCUUAGGAUUUUUGGCUGCAACAUUGUUGAGCUUCUCCUGGUUGCUACAAGUAGAGAGCAUCAAGGAAAAGGUUAUUUUCAAGUGUUGUUCUCUUGCAUAGAGAGGUUGUUGUCUUCUCUAAAUGUAGAAAAGCUGGUGCUCCCUGCUGUAGGGGAUGCAGAGUCAAUUUGGACUAAGAAAUUAGGCUUUCACAAGAUGAGUGAAGAUCAGACAGUAAUGAUCAACUUAACUCAGCUUUGUACCUUCAGGUGAGCAUUAUUAGUUAAGCACUCAUCUUUGUGACAAGGUCAAGGAGUUGGUCUUAUGUCGAAUGCCCUGGCCUGUUGCUUCUCUUUGCCUUCUUUGCUGCAGAGAUGGUAUUUGCUAGAAUCAAUGGAAUUGGUUGGAGAUGGGCUGGAGUAAUCUGGAUCUUCACCAUUGUUACUUACAUUCCUCUUGACGUCCUCAUGAGGUCUGGGACAACAUGAUUGAUAAUAAGUCUGCUUUCACAACAAAGAAGGACUACAGAAGAGGAGAAAGAGAGGCACAAUGGGCUACGGCUCAACACACACUCCAUGGUCUCAAAGUUACAGAAACUAAGAGCAACAACAGCCAUCAUGAAGACUCUGAAAUUGCUGAACAAGCCAAGAGAUGUGCCAAGGCUGACAGGUUCAUUUAUAUAAAUAAAAUGCAUCUUAUUAAUAUGAUAGUUAAUUUUGGAUUAGUAGUUGUAAUUUUGAUCAAUAUUAUUAUACUUAAAACUAUAUGGUAGUGGAUGUUCUAAGAUAGUACAGUACACCAUAAAAGAACAAUCUUAUAAGGCAAAGAACAAUCUGAUCUGAUGCUUUUGCUUGCUGUAGAAUUUUAUUUUGUACUCAGCAUUUGCAGAUUGGAAUCUCAUGGUUAAUCAUUCAUUUAUUCAUAAUUUUGUCUUUAAUUGCAGAUUAAUUGGUGAAAGAUCAGGAUAAUUAUUCAUAUACAUACAUACAUACUAACUGCCUACUUGAGCGUGCAUGCGCUGAAAUUAUAAGAGAAUGAAUUGCAGUGAAAUUUACUCCUUAUUCUCUAGAUGCUGGCUGAUGCAGAGAAAGGAAAAGAUUGUUCAAUAAACUUGAGUAAACUAUGAAGACCAUAUAUAUGUUAAAGAAAUCUCUUUCAGAUUGCUUCUUUUUCGCAACAACGGCGGCAGCCUCCGACAUAGAGGUAAGGACCGGAACCGUCCUCCGGUUCUGUCUCCGACAAUUGACAAAGAAUUUUCCGACAUCGUGUUGUUCAAGCAAUGGUUCUGUUGGAAUCACUGAAGAAGGGAUCAAAUCGUUAGAUCUAGAGGUUAGAAAAAUUGAAUUUGAAGAAUUGUUACUACUACAAUUGUAAUGUUUUUUCUCUCAUUAUUAUUCAUGAUUUCAUUCUAAUUUUUAUUAAAUUUAUUGUAACGCAUUAAACUUUCUAUUUACAUGUGGAGAGAGCACAAGUUGAAACGUCGACGUGUAAUUGUCGUGAAGAUAAAACACGGAGGGAACUUUAGAUUGUAGGAUAUGAUAGAAGAUUAUCAAUUUGGUUUGGGGCCUUAGAUCUAUAUGCGAUAUGAUUGCCUAAAGAGGGACCUGGAGUUUGAAGUUAUCAACCAAAUUAAUGGAAAAAAGGAGCUGUGAUUAUUUUUGAAUUAUUGUUUAGAG
Trifolium pratense (red clover) is the source of this 3478-nucleotide RNA transcript. RefSeq lists it as uncharacterized. The transcript has 14 exons. Lineage: Eukaryota; Viridiplantae; Streptophyta; Magnoliopsida; Fabales; Fabaceae. The record is from RefSeq and is a predicted model, not a curated record.